AGAGUUUGAUCAUGGCUCAGAUUGAACGCUGGCGGCAGGCUUAACACAUGCAAGUCGAACGGUAACAGGAAGAAAGCUUGCUUUCUUUGCUGACGAGUGGCGGACGGGUGAGUAAUGCUUGGGAAUCUGGCUUAUGGAGGGGGAUAACUACGGGAAACUGUAGCUAAUACCGCGUAAUAUCGAGAGAUUAAAGGGUGGGACCGCAAGGCCACCUGCCAUGAGAUGAGCCCAAGUGGGAUUAGGUAGUUGGUGAGGUAAAGGCUCACCAAGCCGACGAUCUCUAGCUGGUCUGAGAGGAUGACCAGCCACACUGGAACUGAGACACGGUCCAGACUCCUACGGGAGGCAGCAGUGGGGAAUAUUGCACAAUGGGGGGAACCCUGAUGCAGCCAUGCCGCGUGAAUGAAGAAGGCCUUCGGGUUGUAAAGUUCUUUCGGUAGCGAGGAAGGCAUUUAGUUUAAUAGACUAGAUGAUUGACGUUAACUACAGAAGAAGCACCGGCUAACUCCGUGCCAGCAGCCGCGGUAAUACGGGGGGUGCGAGCGUUAAUCGGAAUAACUGGGCGUAAAGGGCACGCAGGCGGUGACUUAAGUGAGAUGUGAAAGCCCCGGGCUUAACCUGGGAAUUGCAUUUCAUACUGGGUCGCUAGAGUACUUUAGGGAGGGGUAGAAUUCCACGUGUAGCGGUGAAAUGCGUAGAGAUGUGGAGGAAUACCGAAGGCGAAGGCAGCCCCUUGGGAAUGUACUGACGCUCAUGUGCGAAAGCGUGGGGAGCAAACAGGAUUAGAUACCCCGGUAGUCCAA
Molecule: ribosomal RNA, 803 nt
Filed under: uncultured bacterium
Lineage: Bacteria
Description: bacterial SSU rRNA
Rfam family: Bacterial small subunit ribosomal RNA
Source: RNAcentral